UUGACCUCAAAUCAGGUAGGACUACCCGCUGAACUUAAGCAUAUCAAUAAGCGGAGGAAAAGAAACUAACGAGGAUUCCCCUA
Molecule: ribosomal RNA, 83 nt
Filed under: Amanita sp. 'homolalittenii'
Lineage: Eukaryota; Fungi; Basidiomycota; Agaricomycetes; Agaricales; Amanitaceae
Description: partial 28S ribosomal RNA
Rfam family: Eukaryotic large subunit ribosomal RNA
Source: RNAcentral